GUGGGGAAUCUUGCGCAAUGGGCGAAAGCCUGACGCAGCCAUGCCGCGUGGAUGAUGAAGGUCUUAGGAUUGUAAAAUCCUUUCACCGGUGAAGAUAAUGACUGUAGCCGGAGAAGAAGCCCCGGCUAACUUCGUGCCAGCAGCCGCGGUAAUACGAAGGGGGCUAGCGUUGCUCGGAUUUACUGGGCGUAAAGGGCGCGUAGGCGGACAUUUAAGUCAGGGGUGAAAUCCCGGGGCUCAACCUCGGAACUGCCUUUGAUACUGGGUGUCUUGAGUUUGGGAGAGGUGAGUGGAACUCCGAGUGUAGAGGUGAAAUUCGUAGAUAUUCGGAAGAACACCAGUGGCGAAGGCGACUCACUGGCCCAAUACUGACGCUGAGGCGCGAAAGCGUGGGGAGCAAACAGGAUUAGAUACCCGUGUAGUCC
This 425-nucleotide ribosomal RNA is filed under the name uncultured bacterium. Its description in RNAcentral is "partial 16S ribosomal RNA". It matches the Rfam family "Bacterial small subunit ribosomal RNA", at positions 354 to 796 of the family's 1533-position model. The record is from RNAcentral.